RNAcentral lists this transfer RNA (72 nucleotides) under Pacificimonas flava. It matches the Rfam family "tRNA". From Rfam's summary of the family: Transfer RNA (tRNA) molecules are approximately 80 nucleotides in length. Their secondary structure includes four short double-helical elements and three loops (D, anti-codon, and T loops). Lineage: Bacteria; Pseudomonadati; Pseudomonadota; Alphaproteobacteria; Sphingomonadales; Sphingosinicellaceae. The record is from Rfam by way of RNAcentral.
UCCCCGGUAGCUCAGCGGUAGAGCAAUCGACUGUUAAUCGAUCGGCCGCCUGUUCGAAUCAGGCCCGGGGAG